GAUGAACGCUAGCUACAGGCUUAACACAUGCAAGUCGAGGGGAAACGACAUCGAAAGCUUGCUUUUGAUGGGCGUCGACCGGCGCACGGGUGAGUAACGCGUAUCCAACCUGCCCAUCACUUGGGAAUAACCUUGCGAAAGUAAGACUAAUACCCAAUGACAUCCCACGAAGACAUCUGAAUGGGAUUAAAGAUUUAUCGGUGAUGGAUGGGGAUGCGUCUGAUUAGCUUGUUGGCGGGGUAACGGCCCACCAAGGCAACGAUCAGUAGGGGUUCUGAGAGGAAGCCCCCCCACAUUGGACCUGAGACACGGUCCAGACGCCUACGGGAGGCAGCAGUGAGGAACAUUGGUCAAUGCGGGAGUGCCUGAACCAGCCAAGUAGCGUGCGGGAUGAAGGACCUAGUGGUUGUAAACUGCUUCUAUAAGGGAAUAAAGUGGGUCGCGUGAAACUUUUCGGAUGUACCUCAUGAAGAAGCAGCGGCUAAUUCCGU
Molecule: ribosomal RNA, 491 nt
Filed under: uncultured bacterium
Lineage: Bacteria
Description: partial 16S ribosomal RNA
Rfam family: Bacterial small subunit ribosomal RNA
Source: RNAcentral